CUUCGCUGCAGGCAGGAAAGAAAGAAGAAAGAUCUGGGGAUAUAAAUAGCUUGACAAGCUGGUAAGUGCUGAAGGGGGUUGUCCAGUAAAACAUUUGGUGGUGCUUUGCCCUAGAUAUCAACUGAGGUGGGCAUGAAGAUUAAUGACUUUCACAGCUUUUGCCACAGGAGUGCUGCUCUGGCCAGCCUGGACGCGUGGAAGGGAAGGCCACCGACAAAUCUGCUGUAAAGCUGCUCUCAUUCGCAUUUAUCCAGAAAAACCCUAUUAGAUCAGCAAGGGUCAGCUGGCAAUGUGCAGACUCCAAGGUGACCUUCAGGCAUCCUCUGGGACCCUCUGAUGUGUUAAGAAUGAACCCCAGCUGCAGGGCUGGAAGGUAUACGGGCUUCGAGGCUGAAUAGUGACUAUUGCGAAUUGCGAAUACACAUUUCAGAGAAGCAAGCUGAAUUCUUG
RNAcentral lists this long non-coding RNA (450 nucleotides) under Apteryx rowi (Okarito brown kiwi). RNAcentral describes it as "lncRNA (ENSARWG00000002270.1)". The record is from RNAcentral. Lineage: Eukaryota; Metazoa; Chordata; Aves; Apterygiformes; Apterygidae.